UCCUUAGAUGUCCUGGGCCGCACGCGCGUUACACUGAUGCAUUCAACGAGCUUAUAACCUUGGCCGAGAGGCCUGGGCAAUCUUGUUAACGUGCAUCGUGAUAGGGAUAGAUUAUUGAAAUUAUUAAUCUUGAACGAGGAAUUCCUAGUAAACGCAGAUCAUCAAUCUGCAUUGAUUACGUCCCUGCCCUUUGUACACACCGCCCGUCGCUCCUACCGAUUGAGUGGUCCGGUGAGGCUUUGGGAUCUGAGCGGAAAGAGCGUUUCGCUGUUUCUGCUCGGAAAACUCAGUCGAACCUUAUCAUUUAGAGGAAGGAGAAGUCGUAACA
This 328-nucleotide ribosomal RNA is filed under the name uncultured eukaryote. RNAcentral describes it as "partial 18S ribosomal RNA". It matches the Rfam family "Eukaryotic small subunit ribosomal RNA", at positions 1470 to 1796 of the family's 1831-position model. The record is from RNAcentral.